ACUUAUGGCGCAUUAGCUGGUUGGUAGGGUAACGGCCUACCAAGGCGACGAUGCGUAGCCGACCUGAGAGGGUGACCGGCCACACUGGGACUGAGACACGGCCCAGACUCCUACGGGAGGCAGCAGUAGGGAAUUUUCGGCAAUGGGGGAAACCCUGACCGAGCAACGCCGCGUGAAGGAAGAAGUAAUUCGUUAUGUAAACUUCUGUCAUAGAGGAAGAACGGUGGAUAUAGGGAAUGAUAUCCAAGUGACGGUACUCUAUAAGAAAGCCACGGCUAACUACGUGCCAGCAGCCGCGGUAAUACGUAGGUGGCGAGCGUUAUCCGGAAUUAUUGGGCGUAAAGAGGGAGCAGGCGGCACUAAGGGUCUGUGGUGAAAGAUCGAAGCUUAACUUCGGUAAGCCAUGGAAACCGUAGAGCUAGAGUGUGUGAGAGGAUCGUGGAAUUCCAUGUGUAGCGGUGAAAUGCGUAGAUAUAUGGAGGAACACCAGUGGCGAAGGCGACGAUCUGGCGCAUAACUGACGCUCAGUCCCGAAAGCGUGGGGAGCAAAUAGGAUUAGAUACCCUAGUAGUCCACGCCGUAAACGAUGAGUACUAAGUGUUGGGAGUCAAAUCUCAGUGCUGCAGUUAACGCAAUAAGUACUCCGCCUGAGUAGUACGUUCGCAAGAAUGAAACUCAAAGGAAUUGACGGGGGCCCGCACAAGCGGUGGAGCAUGUGGCUUAAUUCGAAGCAACGCGAAGAACCUUACCAGGUCUUGACAUCGAUCUAAAGGCUCCAGAGAUGGAGAGAUAGCUAUAGAGAAGACAGGUGGUGCAUGGUUGUCGUCAGCUCGUGUCGUGAGAUGUUGGGUUAAGUCCCGCAACGAGCGCAACCCCUGUUGCCAGUUGCCAGCAUUAAGUUGGGGACUCUGGCGAGACUGCCGGUGACAAGCCGGAGGAAGGCGGGGAUGACGUCAAAUCAUCAUGCCCCUUAUGACCUGGGCUACACACGUGCUACAAUGGACAGAGCAGAGGGAAGCGAAGCCGCGAGGUGGAGCGAAACCCAUAAAACUGUUCUCAGUUCGGACUGCAGUCUGCAACUCGACUGCACGAAGAUGGAAUCGCUAGUAAUCGCGAAUCAGCAUGUCGCGGUGAAUACGUUCUCGGGCCUUGUACACACCGCCCGUCACACCAUGAGAGUCGGUAACACCCGAAGCCGGUGGCCUAACCGCAAGGAAGGAGCUGUCUAAGGUGGGACUGAUGAUUGGGGUGAAGUCGUAGCAAGGUA
RNAcentral lists this ribosomal RNA (1267 nucleotides) under metagenome. RNAcentral's name for it is "bacterial SSU rRNA". It matches the Rfam family "Bacterial small subunit ribosomal RNA", at positions 229 to 1498 of the family's 1533-position model. The record is from RNAcentral.